AGAGUUUGAUCCUGGCUCAGAACGAACGCUGGCGGCAGGCUUAACACAUGCAAGUCGAACGCACCUUUCGGGGUGAGUGGCAGACGGGUGAGUAACGCGUGGGAAUCUACCCUUCUCUACGGGAUAGCUCCGGGAAACUGGAAUUAAUACCGUAUACGUCCUGAGGGAGAAAGAUUUAUCGGGGAAGGAUGAGCCCGCGUUGGAUUAGCUAGUUGGUGGGGUAAAGGCCUACCAAGGCGACGAUCCAUAGCUGGUCUAAGAGGAUGAUCAGCCACAUUGGGACUGAGACACGGCCCAAACUCCUACGGGAGGCAGCAGUGGGGAAUAUUGGACAAUGGGCGCAAGCCUGAUCCAGCCAUGCCGCGUGAGUGAUGAAGGCCCUAGGGUUGUAAAGCUCUUUCAGUGGGGACGAUAAUGACGGUACCCACAGAAGAAGCCCCGGCUAACUUCGCG
This 453-nucleotide ribosomal RNA is filed under the name uncultured Aurantimonas sp. Its description in RNAcentral is "bacterial SSU rRNA". It matches the Rfam family "Bacterial small subunit ribosomal RNA", at positions 8 to 507 of the family's 1533-position model. Lineage: Bacteria; Pseudomonadati; Pseudomonadota; Alphaproteobacteria; Hyphomicrobiales; Aurantimonadaceae. The record is from RNAcentral.